AAAUACUGUGUAGUUACAUCCGGUUCAUACAGCCUAGAUGAAUAGUAUAACCUCAAAUUAGAAUUGAUAGAGCAUCUUUGGUUGUACGAGGCAUGAUUUGGAUUUGAAGGCAACUUAGAAAUUUAUUGAGCGAAGUCUUGAUCAUAUCCAAAAUGCAUUGCUACCGAUUUGGUCGUUAUCACUCUUGACAAUCAAAACCAACAAGCACAUAUGCCCUUAAGCAUGGAACUAGAGACCCCAUUUUAUAUCUAAAUGUUUCCCUCCGGCCAUUGUCCAGUCUUCUUUAUCCUUAUAAAACAUGACAAUCUACUAACCUUCCACAGCCAAGGUGUAUGGCCUCCAUCGACACACUCUCCGGAUGAGUCAAUAAUAGCCCUGACAUUAAUAACACCCGAUUCCUCCAUAUUGUACCAUCGGUAUUUUCUCACCCCUCUAAAAAGAACAAACAUGAAAAAAUUAAAAAUGGCGACCAAAGACUAUUUUAUGAAUGUCAAAUCUAUACUCGUUUAGAUCUCUAAUUUAUCCAAAUAUGGCGAAACAUCGUGGUGACUCAAAAUAAU
RNAcentral lists this unclassified non-coding RNA (560 nucleotides) under Hevea brasiliensis (rubber tree). Lineage: Eukaryota; Viridiplantae; Streptophyta; Magnoliopsida; Malpighiales; Euphorbiaceae. The record is from RNAcentral.